GGGUCCUACGGGGGCAGCAGUGGGGGAUAUUGGACAAUGGGGGAAACCCUGAUCCAGCGACGCCGCGUGAGUGAAGAAGUAUUUCGGUAUGUAAAGCUCUAUCAGCAGGGAAGAAAGAAAUGACGGUACCUGAGUAAGAAGCCCCGGCUAACUACGUGCCAGCAGCCGCGGUAAUACGUAGGGGGCAAGCGUUAUCCGGAUUUACUGGGUGUAAAGGGAGCGUAGACGGCAAUACAAGUCGGAGGUGAAAUACCCGGGCUCAACCUGGGAACUGCUUUGGAAACUGUAUGGCUGGAGUGCUGGAG
This 305-nucleotide ribosomal RNA is filed under the name uncultured bacterium. RNAcentral's name for it is "bacterial SSU rRNA". It matches the Rfam family "Bacterial small subunit ribosomal RNA", at positions 334 to 654 of the family's 1533-position model. The record is from RNAcentral.